This is a long non-coding RNA of Dromiciops gliroides (monito del monte), 767 nucleotides long. RefSeq lists it as uncharacterized. The record is from RefSeq and is a predicted model, not a curated record. The transcript has 3 exons. NCBI's taxonomy places the organism in Eukaryota, Metazoa, Chordata, Mammalia, Microbiotheria, Microbiotheriidae.
AAAUGCAAGCUGAAUUUAGAUGACCUUUAGAAGUUCCUAGGAAAAUAAAUGGGGACUGGAAGUAGCUGAGGAGCAUCGUAAUUAUCAUCCAAGGUUUGAGAUUCCUAUGGAACAUGCAGUGGAAAGCGACCUGUGAACAGCUGAUGAAGUAAAACUGGAGCUCAGGAGAUGGAACAGAUCUGGAAUGCUUAUGCACAAAGAUAAUAACUGAACCCAUUAGAGAGGAUGAGAUCACUAAAAGGCUCCACAGAGUUACUCCAGGAAGGGGAAAAAAAUGGAAUUUCAAAACAGAAGCUACUCCUGCAAAGAAUAGCAGGGAGGAGCAAGACAAAGCAAACAGGCAUGUUUGAGGUUUAACUAGCACUAUGAUUUAGCAUGUUAUAACUUAAAUUCAGAAUCCAAAGAUUACUUUACUUAGCUUAUAUAUAUGUACAAGAAAUGAGGGGCAGAUUGGGUGAUCAUGUUGGAGAAGAAAUUAGGUUAAUAAUCUUUGAUAGUAAAUGAUAUUACCAGUAAAUUCCUGACUUCAACAAAUUCCCCAAAAGCCCAAUUCCUGCUGCUGCCCAACUUUAUGACUUGUUUUCUUAAGAGCUGUAUGGAAGUGGACAGUCAUUCCUUUGAUGCUCAUGGAAAACUGUAUUUUUCAGGUCUUAAGGUACAAAAAACCUUUAAACCAUGGGUAUCCUGGAGCCUACUAAAACCAGUUCUCACUGUUAAUGUUUUCAACAUGAGCAUUUAUACUUCAGAAAUUGACAAAUUUUAAAAAG